Molecule: long non-coding RNA, 1625 nt
Organism: Triticum dicoccoides
Lineage: Eukaryota; Viridiplantae; Streptophyta; Magnoliopsida; Poales; Poaceae
Exons: 5
Source: RefSeq, a predicted model, not a curated record
AGAAAACCAGACAAAGUUUCACGAAUGCAAAUGUCGCUACUAAUAGUCAACAAGCAAGAAAGAAUACAUGGUAUGCCCAACUGUCUGAUGAGAAGAGAGCAGCAUUCCUCGAAAAACGUCGUAUGUCCCGACAAGAAAAGAAGGCUCAGUGUCUAGAUGUUGUUACUGGUCAACUAACACCUGAGGCACAUGCUUCGUUAGGAUCCAAGGAGUGUACCCCUUUGAGCAACAUAACCAACACACACACACAAAUGAUAUGUUCAUACUCUGCAUAUCAUAAUUAUUGAAUGACCAUUUACUCAUUUUGCUUGGACGUCCGACUCCUGUGUUGUGUCAGAUGCAAGAUGUACAGGGGACUCCAUGACUACUGUUCGACAUUCCUAAGAUGUUAAUGUUGAGCGAAAAAGGACUGGCCAUAAUCGGUAUGCUCGACUAACAGACGAACAAAGAGCAGAACACUUGCAUAAGCUCCGGUUGGCUCGCCUACAAAAAAAAAGUUGUAGCUGACAGUGUUACUGUUGAAUUACCACACAGCUCGUACUCCUGAUCUUCACCUGGUUCAGCCUCUACGGUACCAAUCUCCAAGAGUAGUACUUGUCUUCCGGUGGCACGGCACAAAGCGACGACUGCAACCGGCACUGCGAGUGUCAAAAAACGCCAACCAUCUGUCGGGGAAGCGUCACCUGGUAUCACACAUUAUGGAUCGUCACAAUCCAGUAUCACCCGUGUGUCCGUGUGGGACACACGCUAGUUGGAGAGCCAAAUACAGGGAGGACGUUUCUGAAGAUUGGCUGCACAGGAAUCCAACUUACGUACGGGGAGCGAGGUCGGCUGAACACAAUAGUAACGUCUUACGGACUGGGGCAAUGUGGGCUGAACAUAAAAGUAAUGUCUUACAGACUGGAUGAGAGCACGGACAAUAUGACUUUGUGCCCACGAGUUUUAUCUUCGGUCCGUCCAUUGAACGACAAGAUUCAGCUGCCCGCUACGAGAAGGAGCGCAUUCGUAAGAGAACGAAAUACUCGGAAAUGAGCAUGGACCAGAGAGAUGCCUUAUUAUAUCGGGUUCGCGAGUACAAGAAAAGAAAGCGGACAACUUAUGCCUCAUCCGACAAGUACGACCAUGCUGGAGUGUCCAACAUUGACGGGGACUCUGAUUUAUCCGGAAUUUUCGAGCCAAUGAGACCGGAUGCUGAAAUUGAAGGUGUGUUGUCUUCCCUCCCAUAAUGGUACCCACAUUCAUUAUAUUUAGCUGAUUCAAUCAUUGUGUUCCCAUAGAAACAUGGACACCUCCCAAGAUGUAAUAUAAUGUGAGGCCUAAUUAAGUGUAGGUCUGAUUAUUUGGUUUUUGAACAUGUGGAGUACCCAUGAUGGGUGAGCCUUCGAUCGAGCUCAUGUGUGAGGCUAAUCUAUUGUAAGCCUUCAUCGACUUCAGUUCACCAUAUGUUAUUUCAUUUGUCAACAGAGCGGGGAUUCAGCUUGAAAAAUAUCACACUCAGGCUUAAAAGUAUCAGUUGUCAAACACUAUAUUACCUCAGUGAAUUGCCAUCGAAUUGUACAAUUCUUUCCUUGUCUGUUUAUAAGAGGAUUUGUAAGAUAUUUUUCAUUCAACCUUUUUAGCGCUAA